This 253-nucleotide ribosomal RNA is filed under the name uncultured bacterium. RNAcentral's name for it is "partial 16S ribosomal RNA". It matches the Rfam family "Bacterial small subunit ribosomal RNA", at positions 524 to 776 of the family's 1533-position model. The record is from RNAcentral.
UACGUAGGCAGCAAGCGUUGUUCGGAAUUACUGGGCGUAAAGAGUGUGUAGGCGGUGUUCCAAGUCUGGUGUGAAAUCUCCCGGCUUAACUGGGAGGGUGCAUUAGAAACUGGAAUGCUAGAGGAUGGGAGAGGUAGGCGGAAUUCCUGGUGUAGCGGUGAAAUGCGUAGAUAUCGGGAGGAACACCUGUGGCGAAAGCGGCGCACUGGACCACAACUGACGCUGAGGCGCGAAAGCUAGGGGAGCAAACAGG